This 253-nucleotide ribosomal RNA is filed under the name uncultured bacterium. Its description in RNAcentral is "partial 16S ribosomal RNA". It matches the Rfam family "Bacterial small subunit ribosomal RNA", at positions 524 to 776 of the family's 1533-position model. The record is from RNAcentral.
UACGAAGGGGGCUAGCGUUGCUCGGAAUCACUGGGCGUAAAGCGCACGUAGGCGGCUUACUAAGUCAGGGGUGAAAUCCUGGAGCUCAACUCCAGAACUGCCUUUGAUACUGGCGACCUUGAGUCCGGGAGAGGUGAGUGGAACUGCGAGUGUAGAGGUGAAAUUCGUAGAUAUUCGCAAGAACACCAGUGGCGAAGGCGGCUCACUGGCCCGGUACUGACGCUGAGGUGCGAAAGCGUGGGGAGCAAACAGG